GGGUGGGAGGGCGGUCUGCUGCGACACCUUCACCCACUGAUCUCCAGGUAGAUUCAACUGACCCCGCUGUCUGGGCAGCUGUCCUCUGCCUCGCUCACCACUCCCUGUGUGUCCUUCUCUGAGCUGUGGGCCUUUCCACAGAGAGGAGGACCAUUCUCCAGUCAAGGGGACAGAGCAGCCGGCCCCCUGCUAGAACCGCCAAACGCGCCCUGAGGAAUUCUGGAAGAUGCAGGCAUUCAGUCCCCAU
This 247-nucleotide small nuclear RNA is filed under the name Spermophilus dauricus (Daurian ground squirrel). RNAcentral's name for it is "7SK RNA (ENSSDAG00000017783.1)". It matches the Rfam family "7SK RNA", at positions 1 to 280 of the family's 331-position model. Rfam says of the family: 7SK was discovered as an abundant small nuclear RNA in the mid-70s but a possible function has only recently been suggested. The record is from RNAcentral. Lineage: Eukaryota; Metazoa; Chordata; Mammalia; Rodentia; Sciuridae.